GCCGUAUCGGAAGGUGCGGCUGGAUCACCUCCUU
Molecule: ribosomal RNA, 34 nt
Filed under: Paracidovorax citrulli
Lineage: Bacteria; Pseudomonadati; Pseudomonadota; Betaproteobacteria; Burkholderiales; Comamonadaceae
Description: Acidovorax citrulli partial 16S ribosomal RNA
Source: RNAcentral